UACGUAGGGUGCAAGCGUUGUCCGGAAUUAUUGGGCGUAAAGAGCUCGUAGGCGGUUUGUCGCGUCGAAUGUGAAAACCCGGGGCUCAACCCCGGGCCUGCAUUCGAUACGGGCAGACUAGAGUUCGGUAGGGGAGUCUGGAAUUCCUGGUGUAGCGGUGAAAUGCGCAGAUAUCAGGAGGAACACCGGUGGCGAAGGCGGGGAUCUCUGGGCCGAUACUGACGCUGAGGAGCGAAAGCGUGGGGGAGCGAACAGG
RNAcentral lists this ribosomal RNA (256 nucleotides) under uncultured bacterium. Its description in RNAcentral is "partial 16S ribosomal RNA". It matches the Rfam family "Bacterial small subunit ribosomal RNA", at positions 524 to 776 of the family's 1533-position model. The record is from RNAcentral.